Molecule: ribosomal RNA, 252 nt
Filed under: uncultured Bacteroidales bacterium
Lineage: Bacteria; Pseudomonadati; Bacteroidota; Bacteroidia; Bacteroidales
Description: partial 16S ribosomal RNA
Rfam family: Bacterial small subunit ribosomal RNA
Source: RNAcentral
UACGGAGGAUGCGAGCGUUAUCCGGAUUUAUUGGGUUUAAAGGGUGCGCAGGCGGAUUUUUAAGUCAGCGGUCAAAUCGUGGGGCUCAACCCCGGCCUGCCGUUGAAACUGGCGGCCUCGAGUGGGCGAGAAGUACGCGGAAUGCGCGGUGUAGCGGUGAAAUGCAUAGAUAUCGCGCAGAACUCCGAUUGCGAAGGCAGCAUGCCGGCUCCACACUGACGCUGAGGCACGAAAGCGUGGGUAUCGAACAGG